AGUGAACCAAAACCAAAAUGGAAGCAUACAAUACCAAUAAUAACAAUAACAAUGAUAAUAAUAAUAAUAAACAUUUAGAAGGUGCAGAAACAUUCAUACAUUUCAUGUAAAAAUUGUCCUUACCAAUAAGUCAUUUACUUAAAACAGUAUAAAGUGCGCUCAAUUCAACUUGUAGACCACUGAACAGUCCUUAGGAUUAGGAACAGAUAAUAUCUACCGGUACAUAAUUAUUUUAAGUCACUUCUUAAGUAGUGAUUAUAAGUAAACUGAAAACAGCAAACAAAAUUAAUGACAAAAUAAUAGGGCUCCAUUUAGUAUCCAAUUGUUUUGAACAGCUGUUUAGUGGGUGUCUCGGGUAUUACCAUCCCUUUGGAUAAGAUUUAAAAGGAAACAUCAUUAGUUAAUUAAUAUAAUAUAAAAAUAAACAUAACUCGUAUAUCAAUGAGAAAUCUA
This is a long non-coding RNA of Strongylocentrotus purpuratus (purple sea urchin), 453 nucleotides long. RefSeq lists it as uncharacterized. NCBI's taxonomy places the organism in Eukaryota, Metazoa, Echinodermata, Echinoidea, Camarodonta, Strongylocentrotidae. The record is from RefSeq and is a predicted model, not a curated record. The transcript is spliced from 2 exons.